ACUAGGUGGCAGGCCCCACAGGCCUCCCUGAAGUUGAAUUCCCGCUUUUUUGAACUAUCAGGUAGUAGGCCUCAUAAGGCCUCCCUGAAGGCAAAGCCCCAAAAACAGUCAACUGGACUGCCAGUCUGGCUCACUAUCAGCUAUGGUUUUCAGGUAGUAGGCCUCUCUAGGCCUCUCUGUAAGUGAACUUCCAUGCACUGUGUUUAUCAGGUAGUAGGCCUUACUAGGCCUCCCUGAAGUUGUGCUCCCACAUACUGUGGUUGUCAGCUAGUAGGCCUCACCAGGCCUCCCUGGAGUUGAGUUCCAAAUUACUUUCAGUUUCCACUUAAGGUGGUUAUCUGGUAACAGGUAGUAGGCCUCUCUAGGCCUCUCUGUAGGUGAACUCCCACAUAUUGUGGUUAUCAGGUAGUAGGCUUCACCAGGCCUCUCUGAAGGUGAGCUCCCACAUACUGUGGUUGUCAGU
Molecule: long non-coding RNA, 463 nt
Organism: Carassius carassius (crucian carp)
Lineage: Eukaryota; Metazoa; Chordata; Actinopteri; Cypriniformes; Cyprinidae
Exons: 3
Source: RefSeq, a predicted model, not a curated record